This 253-nucleotide ribosomal RNA is filed under the name uncultured bacterium. RNAcentral describes it as "partial 16S ribosomal RNA". It matches the Rfam family "Bacterial small subunit ribosomal RNA", at positions 524 to 776 of the family's 1533-position model. The record is from RNAcentral.
UACGUAGGGCGCAAGCGUUGUCCGGAAUUAUUGGGCGUAAAGAGCGCGUAGGCGGUCCGAUAAGUCGGCUGUGAAAGUCCAGGGCUCAACCCUGGAAAGCCGGCCGAUACUGUCGGACUAGAGUCCGGAAGAGGCAAGUGGAAUUCCCGGUGUAGCGGUGAAAUGCGCAGAUAUCGGGAGGAACACCAAUUGCGAAGGCAGCUUGCUGGGACGGUACUGACGCUGAGGAGCGAAAGCGUGGGGAGCGAACAGG